UUCCGGUUGAUCCUGCCAGAGGUCACUGCUAUCGGUGUUCGACUAAGCCAUGCGAGUCAAAUGUUCUUCGUGAACAUGGCGUACUGCUCAGUAACACGUGGAUAACCUGCCCUUAGGUCUGGCAUAACCCCGGGAAACUGGGGAUAAUUCCGGAUAGAUCAUCGAUGCUGGAAUGCGCUUUGAUCCAAAGCUAUUGUGCCUAAGGAUGGGUCUGCGGUCUAUCAGGUUGUAGUGGGUGUAAUGUACCUACUAGCCUACGACGGAUACGGGUUGUGGGAGCAAGAGCCCGGAGAUGGAUUCUGAGACAUGAAUCCAGGCCCUACGGGGCGCAGCAGGCGCGAAAACUUUACAAUGCGGGGAACCGCGAUAAGGGGACACCGAGUGCCAGCAUCCUAUGUUGGCUGUCCAUAUGUCUAAAUCACAUGUGUUAGCAAGGGCCGGGCAAGACCGGUGCCAGCCGCCGCGGUAACACCGGCGGCCCGAGUGGUGGCCACUAUUAUUGGGUCUAAAGGGUCCGUAGCCGGUUUGGUCAGUCUUCCGGGAAAUCUGACGGCUCAACCGUUAGGCUUUCGGGGGAUACCACCAGGCUUGGGACCGGGAGAGGUAAGAGGUACUACGGGGGUAGGAGUGAAAUCUUGUAAUCCCUGUGGGACCACCAGUGGCGAAGGCGUCUUACCAGAACGGGUCCGACGGUGAGGGACGAAAGCUGGGGGCACGAACCGGAUUAGAUACCCGGGUAGUCCCAGCUGUAAACUAUGCUCGCUAGGUGUCAGGGACGGUGCGACCGUUUCUGGUGCCGCAGGGAAGCCGUGAAGCGAGCCACCUGGGAAGUACGGUCGCAAGGCUGAAACUUAAAGGAAUUGGCGGGGGAGCACUACAACGGGUGGAGCCUGCGGUUUAAUUGGAUUCAACGCCGGAA
RNAcentral lists this ribosomal RNA (919 nucleotides) under uncultured bacterium. RNAcentral describes it as "bacterial SSU rRNA". It matches the Rfam family "Archaeal small subunit ribosomal RNA", at positions 1 to 923 of the family's 1478-position model. The record is from RNAcentral.